Molecule: unclassified non-coding RNA, 256 nt
Filed under: Hevea brasiliensis (rubber tree)
Lineage: Eukaryota; Viridiplantae; Streptophyta; Magnoliopsida; Malpighiales; Euphorbiaceae
Source: RNAcentral
UAAAAAAUUAAAAAGAAAAAAAAAAUUCUCAGCCGUCUUCUUACAAUUCCUUUGUCCACCCAUGUCCCUGGUGGAGUCGUGGGUGUUUCACUCUCAGGCCUUGACGCCCAGGGUCAAAAUGGUAAAAAUAUAUUCUCAGUGAUCCCAAAAUCGAAAUUUGGCCUCUUUUCUUUUCUCUGCUUCUUCUCUGUUCUUCUCCUUCCGUCGAUCCAUCCUCUUAGUUCGAUUUUCUCAGAUUAAGCAACAUUGGUUGAUG